GUGCACCGCACGUAUACCCGGUUCCUCCGCGCCGUCCCCACCUGACGACCGCUCGCUAGGUUUUUCUGUUAGCC
Molecule: small RNA, 74 nt
Filed under: Xanthomonas floridensis
Lineage: Bacteria; Pseudomonadati; Pseudomonadota; Gammaproteobacteria; Lysobacterales; Lysobacteraceae
Description: sX9 sRNA
Rfam family: Xanthomonas sRNA sX9
Source: RNAcentral